This 308-nucleotide unclassified non-coding RNA is filed under the name plant metagenome. RNAcentral's name for it is "partial contains 5.8S ribosomal RNA, internal transcribed spacer 2, and large subunit ribosomal RNA". The stretch from base 1 to 105 matches the Rfam family "5.8S ribosomal RNA", at positions 50 to 154 of the family's 154-position model. The record is from RNAcentral.
GAAAUGCGAUAAGUAGUGUGAAUUGCAGAAUUCAGUGAAUCAUCGAAUCUUUGAACGCACAUUGCGCCCUUUGGUAUUCCAAAGGGCAUGCCUGUUCGAGCGUCAUUUGUACCCUCAAGCUUUGCUUGGUGUUGGGCGUCUUGUCUCUAGCUUUGCUGGAGACUCGCCUUAAAGUAAUUGGCAGCCGGCCUACUGGUUUCGGAGCGCAGCACAAGUCGCACUCUCUAUCAGCAAAGGUCUAGCAUCCAUUAAGCCUUUUUUUCAACUUUUGACCUCAGAUCAGGUGGGAAUACCCGCUGAACUUAAGC